AUACGUUUGAAUUUUUAGAUGCCUAAUGAUGGGAAAAUUUGGCAGUUAAUCAAAGAACUAAGAAGUGGGCAUGUGUUUGAUGGUUGGAAAGAAGGGGUAAUAAGCUUCGCACCGACUUACAAGUAUGAAAUCAACUCUGAUAGAUACGUUGGGGAAAACCCGAAAGAAGGAGAGAAGAAGAGAUCCCCAGCAUGGUAAGUGAGACUGUUGCUGGAUCAUUACUCUUAACUCCAUAUAGUUAUUGACCUUACUAAAGAAUUCCUCGAUUGUUGGCGACUGGACGAAGUUCUGUUAUUUCUACUCAUCUAUAAAGCAAUAUUUCUGGAGAAUGCAACAAUCUAAUUUCUAUGGAGUUAAGUUUACAUUUAGUGUUUACUAUAUAUGUUUUAUCAUACUUAGUACUUGUUACAAGACAUUAUAUAUGUGCAGGUGCGACCGUGUAUUAUGGUUAGGAAAAGGCAUAAAACAACUUUCUUAUGAGCGAAGUGAGAUAAAGCGAUCAGAUCAUCGGCCCGUGAGUUCAAUGUUCCUUGUUGAAGUCGAAAUCUUUGAUCAUCGCAAGCUCCAUAGAGCUCUUAAUCUCUAUCGUUGCAAUACAUCCUAAUAUAUAUUUUCCUGAGUGAAGGUUGACAGUGACAUAAAAGUAGUGUCUUACUAGUAAGUGCUUGAUGACCAUUGUAAUGAAUGG
RNAcentral lists this long non-coding RNA (688 nucleotides) under Olea europaea subsp. europaea. The record is from RNAcentral. Lineage: Eukaryota; Viridiplantae; Streptophyta; Magnoliopsida; Lamiales; Oleaceae.